CCCUCUUACCUCCAGGAAGUGAGGAGAUGGCUGCUCCUUGCCAAGACAGCGCGGUCAGGUUGCUGGCACACACUGGGCAGGCAAGGAGGUUGUGUCCAAGGUUGGCAGGAGUGAUGCUUCUUCAAGUGCAUGUGGCAUUUCAAGUCAGUCACCACUUGAGAAAGUCACAGGAAAGGAGAGCAGGGCAGCAGAUGAAAUGUUUGCAAGGAAAGCAGAAUGAUAUGCAAAGAUGAGAUUAAGCAGAUGUUUCAGGUCUACAUUACAAUUCAGACAGAAAUCUAAAUCAGCUGAAGACAUCAGAACAAAAUGCGUUGUAAGUGUUUCUGUGCUAUCAAUUACUCAAGGAAUAUUUACAGGAUGCGUGACACCAUAACAAAGAACUGCUUAGCAGAAUCCAAUUAAAAUCCAGAUCUCACCCA
Molecule: long non-coding RNA, 419 nt
Filed under: Strigops habroptila (Kakapo)
Lineage: Eukaryota; Metazoa; Chordata; Aves; Psittaciformes; Psittacidae
Description: lncRNA (ENSSHBG00005015515.1)
Source: RNAcentral